This 737-nucleotide long non-coding RNA is filed under the name Ananas comosus (pineapple). RNAcentral's name for it is "long non-coding RNA (ACOM_LNC029920)". Lineage: Eukaryota; Viridiplantae; Streptophyta; Magnoliopsida; Poales; Bromeliaceae. The record is from RNAcentral.
AAGUAACAUAAAUUUAAGGCUAAAUUACAGAAAACUCCCCUGUAAUAACCCGUUUUUUUACUUCCCCCCCUGACAUUUAAAAACCUACACUUUGCCCCCCUGUAAAAUGAAAAAUGUUCACAGGGGGGUUACGGUGUGUAAAAUGACCAUUUUGCCCCUCGCCAUUGUCGUCUUCUUCCCCAUCUUCCUCAGCCGCCCCUUCGUUCGGCGCGAUUCCCACCUCAAUCGGCCGUGAUUUCUCUCCAUUUUCUUCUCCACCUGCUCCCCUUCUCCUCAUGCACCCUCGCCGCCAUCGAUUUCGGCGAUAGUAGAAGAAACCGAGGUGGGCGACAGUAGGAGAAGAACAAAGAAGGCAAAAGCGAGACGGCGGAGGACGGCGAAGGGGAUGUGGGUGAGGGCGAGGCAGUGGAGGACGGCGAGGCGGCUAGGCGGGGAGGCGGCGAGGCGGCGGCGAGGUGGCGAGCCGAAGGGAGUCGAAGCAACAUGGAGAUGGCGGAGGGGUAUUUUCGGCAUAAAAAUAUAUUUUUUAACAGAACCCUGACGGAACCCUAACGGUAGGGGGUGAAGUGCACAUUUUUUAUUUUACAGGGAGGCAAAGUGUAGAUUUUUAAAUGUCAAAGAGGGAAAGUGAAAAUACGGGUUAUUACAAGGGAAUUUUCUGUAAUUUAGCCUAAAUUUAAUUUACUCUUUUAACACGAACACUAAAUAACCAAAAUAUUCUUCAUAUUAUUAGUUAU